UUCCGUGCAGUGUGAUUCUAUCACUAUCUCUAAAAUUGGAGGAUAUCAGUAAAGUUGCUUUGUUUAUCCAUUGGCUGGGCCAAAUCGACAUUAAAAAUCUUUUAGUUCACGUUUUUCCACAAUGGAGGCUCGUAACAGGUUUGGAGUUCUGCAAAAACAACAAAGAUCAAACUUUUAUGUCUGAGGCCUUCAAUUCCUUCAAGAACAAUUAUCUUGGGUUGUACAGUUGCUUGAUGGAUAAGCUCCCACUUCUUUACGGUUGGAACUUAUUUGAGCAUUCAUAGUGCAGUUUGCAGAAUGCCCUAAAGCUAUUAUAAAUGCAGAUUAUCCAAAGCAAUGGCCUAGCCUUCUUCCGUGGGUCAAACACAGUUUGCAAGAUCAGCAAGUAUAUGCUGCUUUAUGUGUCCUAAGAAUUAUUCCAAGGAAGUAUGACGCCUCCAAGUCCAAUACAUAUCAACUUUUUAAAGCCGCAACUUGAUAUUGUGUGUUUUGGAAUUAUCUUCCCUCUUGUGUGCUUCAAUGAUAAUGAUGAGACUCUCUGGCGUGAAGACCCUCACAAAUAUUUCAGGGAAUAUCAUGAUAUUUUGAAGAUGUCUACAGUCCCUGCACCGUAUCCAUUGAUUUCAUUGCAGAGCUAGUGCGGAAAUGUGGAUUUGAAAUCCUCCAGAGAUUCCUUUCCUUUGUUAGAAAUUUUGUCACGUAAAGAAUCUGUGCUUAGAAGUGGACAUAUGGAAAAUACAACUUUCCAGCUGUUGCAUAAAAUGAUUAGAGCAGAUUUUAUGGUUCCUAAAAGUGUGUACUGUUUCAAUCCAUCUUUGCAGCUAUGAUGAGGCAGCUCCAGGCUACAAACCCUAUAAGCAGAAAGAUGGUGUAGCCAUUGGGGCCUUGUGUAAGAAGCUGGAGCAGACUGGGCCAUACAAAUUUCAGCUGGAACAGAUGCUAGUGCAGCAUCGAUUACCUAAGUUUAGAAGCUAAAUUGGUCAUUUGAGAGCAAAGCUUUGUGUGUUUAUUUUUCUCUCCUUAAUGACCGUGCAAAAUUAAUAUACAGCAAAUUCUUUGGGUCGCUCUUCAAUUUUUCUGAAUUGUAGAACUUAAGCCUUUAAACUCUUCUGCUAACUCAGUUCGGUUCUUGAAUAAUCUAAAUGCAUCUUUUGGUUUGCUAAUUCUUCAGGAUUUCAAAAUUGAUUUAUUAUUCAUUGCAGUUCUAGAUGAGGCAUAAUAUAGCAUUUUCCAUUGCAUGGGUUUUGGAAGUUGGCAGAAAUUUCGAAAAGCUGUCACCUAUUUCCUGGAAAUGGAAUUUCGUUUCCGAAUUCCGAGUAAUAUUUCAGCUUCAGGUCAGUCAGAGUAUGAUGCUAAUAAGCGUGCAGUAGGAGUUCAUUGCAUAGUUAGUGGUAAUGCAUCUAUCACUAUAAUUAGUAUGUUAAUAUUCUUAAUAAAUAUAUAAAAAUAAAAUAAAAUUCAUUAUUAUAAAUUUAUAAUAUUAAAAAUAAUAUUAUUAAUUAUGAGACAUUGAAAUCUUAUAUAAUUUUUUUUUUUUUUCACAAGAUAAAGAUAAGAACCAAUAUAAUGAUAUAAUAAUAUUACAAUAAUGCAAUUUUAAUAGAUUUUGUUUUUUUGGUUAGAUUCUUUGUUUUGUCAAGGGUUUAAUAGAAAUAUAAAAGUAUAAUUAUAAUAAUAAUAAUUUGAUAAUUGAUUCUUUAACCUUUCUCAAGUCGCUUUUCCAAACUAAGAAGAAAACAAGAAACAUCUUCCAAUUUCACCUAGGUUUUGACCCCGCGUCGAUUAUCUCUGACCCGGUCAACAUCGCAUCAAGCUGGCCUUUCUACACCUUCACUGAAAUUUCUACAGAAAUGCACUGCGAUUAAAAAAUUUGUAGCUAUAUAAAGUGCCAAUCUUCUUGUCAAAGGCGAUACGAUUGUUUCUCAAACCUCCUUCUGCAAUUAGCGUUAUAAUUAUUUUGCCCUUUGAUAGUCUGUAAAUUGAGGGGGACAAAGAACAGAGAAUGACGACUUUAGCAUUGCCUAUGAUGGCGCCCGCAAAAGCUGCAGCUGAGACCGUCGGAGCUUCCUGCCGCUUCCAUUUCCCUGGUUUUGAAAUUCGACAGCGUAAUAAGGAAGAAGCAAAGGAAUUGGGCGCAGACGAAAAGAGGGAGUCAAGAAAGAGAAGCAGAGGACUAGGGUUUGCACCGGAAUUUGACGGUUUACAUUGCUAUGAAAAUUUGAUUUGUAGUUGAAUCAAUUUUAAAUCUUUCCAUGACGAGGCCUUCGAUACAUCUAUUAAUUAUUCUUUUUUCCAACGAUUCUACCGUUGCUUGUACAAAGGACACUUCUACUCACCAUUGAACUGUAACAAGAAUACUCGAGUCCAUCUUUAAUUCAAUAUUUAUUGAUGCUUUGUUCUC
Molecule: long non-coding RNA, 2401 nt
Organism: Cryptomeria japonica (Japanese cedar)
Lineage: Eukaryota; Viridiplantae; Streptophyta; Pinopsida; Cupressales; Cupressaceae
Exons: 5
Source: RefSeq, a predicted model, not a curated record